AGCAGCCGCGGUAAUUCCAGCUCCAAUAGCGUAUAUUGAAGUUGUUGCAGUUAAAAAGCUCGUAGUUGAAUUUCGGGGUUAGUAGGUUGGUCAUGCCUCUGGUAUGUACUGGUCUCACUGAUUCCUCCUUCCUUAUGAACCGUAAUGCCAUUAAUUUGGUGUUGCGGGGAAUUUGGACUGUUACUUUGAAAAAAUUAGAGUGUUUAAAGCAAGCUAACGCUUGAAUACAUUAGCAUGGAAUAAUGAAAUAGGACGUUCGAUCUUAUUUUGUUGGUUUCUAGGAUUGACGUAAUGAUUAAUAGGGAUAGUUGGGGGCAUUAGUAUUCAAUUGUCAGAGGUGAAAUUCUUGGAUUUAUUGAAGACUAACUACUGCGAAAGCAUUUGCCAAGGAUGUUUUCAUUAAUCAAGAACGAAAGUUAGGGGAUCGAAGACGAUCAGAUACCGUCGUAGUCUUAACCAUAAACUAUGCCGACUAGGGAUCGGAUGAUGUUAAUUUUUUAAUGACUCA
RNAcentral lists this ribosomal RNA (508 nucleotides) under uncultured Glomus. RNAcentral's name for it is "SSU rRNA". It matches the Rfam family "Eukaryotic small subunit ribosomal RNA", at positions 569 to 1078 of the family's 1831-position model. Lineage: Eukaryota; Fungi; Glomeromycota; Glomeromycetes; Glomerales; Glomeraceae. The record is from RNAcentral.